This 515-nucleotide ribosomal RNA is filed under the name uncultured bacterium. Its description in RNAcentral is "bacterial SSU rRNA". It matches the Rfam family "Bacterial small subunit ribosomal RNA", at positions 336 to 841 of the family's 1533-position model. The record is from RNAcentral.
UUCCUACGGGAGGCAGCAGUGGGGAAUAUUGCACAAUGGGCGAAAGCCUGAUGCAGCCAUGCCGCGUGUGUGAAGAAGGCCCUAGGGUUGUAAAGCACUUUCAGUAAGGAGGAAAGGUUAUAGUUUAAUAGACUAUAGCUGUGACGUUACUUACAGAAGAAGCACCGGCUAACUUCGUGCCAGCAGCCGCGGUAAUACGAGGGGUGCAAGCGUUAAUCGGAAUUACUGGGCGUAAAGCGUACGCAGGCGGUUUGUUAAGCGAGAUGUGAAAGCCCCGGGCUCAACCUGGGAACUGCAUUUCGAACUGGCAGACUAGAGUAUGAUAGAGGGUGGUAGAAUUUCAGGUGUAGCGGUGAAAUGCGUAGAGAUCUGAAGGAAUACCGAUGGCGAAGGCAGCCACCUGGGUCAAUACUGACGCUCAUGUACGAAAGCGUGGGGAGCAAACGGGAUUAGAUACCCCGGUAGUCCACGCCGUAAACGAUGUCUACUAGGAGCUGGAAUCUUCGGAUGACUUU